GCCAACAUAGCUCAGUUGGUAGAGCAGCUCAUUCGUAAUGAGCAGGUCGCCGGUUCAAGUCCGGCUGUUGGCU
This 73-nucleotide transfer RNA is filed under the name Myxococcales bacterium. RNAcentral's name for it is "tRNA-Thr". It matches the Rfam family "tRNA". From Rfam's summary of the family: Transfer RNA (tRNA) molecules are approximately 80 nucleotides in length. The record is from RNAcentral. RNAcentral also lists the same sequence under 1 other name. Lineage: Bacteria; Pseudomonadati; Myxococcota; Myxococcia; Myxococcales.